AUUUAAUUACCAAGGAGAUUCAAAUCUGUAACGACCCAAAUCUCGGUCUGGGAAAAUUUAGCCCAAUAAGACUCAAUUACAUUGCAGAGAACCCUAUAGUUUUUUUAUUUAAGAUGGAUUUCGUGGUGGCCUAUGACAGAGACUUUUGGGGAUGGCAAAGUCCUGCCGGAACGUCACCGGAACAGCCACAAAUAGCCACCAUGAAAGAGAAGCCAUCCCACCAUCCGAAAAGAGAGAUUAGAGCUCAGCAGACACGUUUUGGGGAACAGAAGAACGAUCGAUCAAAUAUGAGUAUUUCGAAGCUAAAUUUUGAGAUUAUGUUCUACACUCAUAGAUCUAUGUGUAUCAGAAAGCAGAUCGUCAUUUGGAAUUUUUAUCUAAGAGUUAUGGUUGUUUCUUUGGAACUGAUAUCUACAGAUCGGAUCCGCGAACAGUCAACUUCAUCAGCGUUUUACCGUUGAUACAGAAGGAACCAGGAAACGUGCGAGAUAUCAUUGGAAAGAUCUCGAUGCCAGCUUUUCAGAUCAUCUAUCCGAUUGUCAAAUCGACGUAUGGUUAGAAAGUUAUUGACGUUUCUUCUUGGUGAAGAAUAAAGCUGUUGAAUUGCAGAGACAGUUCCGACCAGUCUCGGUGUAAGUGAGAAACGGUCGACAGAAACAAAAUAUUUCAGUCUAGAAAUUUGUCAGUAAGUAGAUAAUUCUCUUAUCUAUCAUCUCUUGCAAGCGGAUCGUUAUUCCGAGUUAUUUUCUGAGAGUUAUGCUUGUUUUCGUGUGAGGUGUUGGUGCAUUUUGAGUUUACGACCAUCCAGGAGAUGAAGUUACUUUGGUUAAGCAAAUGGUGUCCGAUCGGAGUAAACUAGGUGUAUAUGGAUAGAUGACACAUAGGACUACAUUAUGACCGGAGGGAUCGAAAAGUUAACGGUCAUUUCUUGAGUUAUUCAUCUGUUUACUGUAUGGUUCAGUUCUGCCAGAAUAUCAUAUUGAUCUAAUUUCAGAGAGUUCCGGAGUUGCUUUGUUAGAGCCGUAAAGGUCCAUUCGGCGUUUCCUCAGGUUUCUUCAGAACCCGUGGCAAAGGUGAAACUGACGAGUAUAUGAUAUUUGGACGGAUUGGUGCUACUGGGCUUUUUAUUCGGAUUUUAUUUGGGCUUAGGGUGAGUGGAGUCGUGUAUAUGGGCUAUUGUGUUAUGAGAUAUUGUUGGUGGCAUGCUGUUCUCCCGAUAGGAGGUGACGGGUGUCACAAAUUUGGUAUCAGAGUGGGGUUCCGCCCCGGCCUCGACCCGGGAUGGCGAUUAGGGGAUUCGGUUUUCUACGUUUUUAAAAAAUAUAUAUAAAUUAUUUAUAUAAAUAUAUAUAUAUAAUAAAAAAAAUGUUUGCGAAGUUCUUUUAGCACCAUUAUGUCCAGUAAUUACUAACUCAAUUGUCUCUUUCUAUGACGAUGAGUAAAAUCAUCGCCAUUCAUCCUUCGACUAACAAGGUUCUAGCCAGAUGUUCAGUAGCAGAUGUGUGAUGCCUCAGUUUGUCAGUUUUCUCAGGAGUUAUCAGUUUCUUCGGUCAUGAUUCCGAGAUUAUCUAGGAGUGGAUAUGUGACGUUUUUGCUUCCACCCUACUUCAAGCAAUCGUUCCACGAGGUUUUGUUACGGGAGAUUACGUGAUAUGAGGUGUGAGCCAUUGGUUGGCAUGUGUUGUUUUUGUGUACGAGUAUGUUGACUAUUUUGGAGGUAUAUUUGGUUUGUGAACUCGUGGAGAUCGCUUUUGAAUUGGGGUGCAGCAGCUUGCGUUGUAUUGAUAUUGGAGUGACACUUGGUUUUGUUUACUAGCUUUUGGCAUUGUUGAUCGUUUCAGAGAUGUGUCAGUUAAAACAGCUGGCAUGGGAUGUGAGACCUAUUUAUAUUCAUCGCAGUGUACAGUUAUGCUCGGAGGACUGAUUUGUUUGGGGAAUCGUCAGAGAUGGAACUACGUUUUUACGAUGUCAUCCUUGGAAUGGAUUGGCUGUCACGACAUCGAGUAGUGUUGGAUUGCCUGAGGGAAAGAGUUGAUAUUGCUGGAGCUGAUGGGAGUUUUUAUUGCAUGCAUGCUACAUGCUCAAGGGUUAUUGGAUAUAAGAGCAGAGAGAUUUUUGGCGACCAUAUUGAUGCUUAGGAAUGUUGGACAGUAUGAGUUGUAGGAUCUUCUGGUUAUUGCAGAUUAUAAGGAUGUAUUUGUGGCCUUUGGAACGGCCACAACCAGACACGUGAGACGUUUUUACAAUUGAGUUGGAACCAAGGACAACACUUGUUUCACGAGUUCUACACCAAUUAGCGGCAGCUGAGAUGAUCAAGCUGAAAGAGCAUAUGGAAGAUUCAUCAGACAUGGGUUUUAUCAGACCGAGUACUUCACCGUGGGAAACAUCAUUAUUUUUGUAAAGAAGAAAGAUGGAAGUUUCAGUCUUCGUAUCGACUACAUUGACUUGAACAUGGUAUCCUCAUAUUGAUGAGUUGUUGUAUUAGCUACAGGAGGUUCAUGGUUCUUGAAGAUCGACUUGGCAUCACGACACCACCAGAUUGCGAUAGAUGAAGAGGAUGUGCGGAAGACAGCCUUCCGUAUUAUGGACAUUAUGAGUUUGUGAUUAUGUCAUUUGGGUUGACGAACACACCCGUAGCAUUUAGGAAACUAAUGAAUGAUGUUUUUGUGAACACUUGGACAAGUGCGAUUGUACUCAUCGACGACCCCAUUGAGUUAUUCUUGGAGUAGAGGGAGCAUGAUGAGUGUUUGCGCAUUUUGUAUUGAUGCAUGAGGAUCAGGUCAUUCUAUAUACAUUGCAUCAGUUGAGACCUCACGAGACCCACUACCCUAUUCAUGAUUCGUAGUGGCUGCAGUGGUAUUUGCGUUAUAGUUUUGGAGAUUGUAAUUGUACAAGAAGGAAGUUCAGAUUCUCUGGGAUCAUUGGAGGCUGAAAUCUAUCUUCAUUCAUUAAAACAUGUACUUAGACAGUGCAGUUGGAUUGAGUUGGUAGCAGGCUACAGUUUGGACAUUGCAUACCAUCUGGUAAAGACAACCAGGUGACAAAUGCCUUGGAUAGGCACAUGAACGACGUAUCAGGAACCAAAGAGGUUCAUGAGUUUACUGGGAUAUUGGCUAGUCUCAGAUUGUGUGCCAUUACUGUCGAUGGAGAGACAGAUGGCCUUGGGACUUUGGAGCAGGCAGUUUUGCUAUGGAGGAUACCCCAAACACAUGUUAGCGUUAUGGCUUUGUAAGACGAUCGAUAUUGGGAGUAUUGUUAUCAUAAGUGUUGAGCGGGAUGUACCUGUACUGAAAUCGAGUUGUGUGUUGGACGAUAAGCUGUUAAGAAAAAGAAUCUUACAGCAAAUGCAUCACUCGUGUUUCUCUACCCAUCGGGAACACCAAGGCGUACAAAGAUAUGAAGUGUUAACUGUAAUUGGUCUAGUAUGAAGAGAGUUGUAGCUUCAUUGUGUCACAGUGUCAGACAUGUCAGAUGGCUAUGACAAAGGAUCAGUUAUCUAUCAUGUUAUUUUUGAACUUGCUUUUGCCAGAGUGGAAAUGAGGCAUGGUGAUUAUGGACAUUGUUAUUUGAUUUUAAAUCACCAUAUGUGGAAAGGAUGCCACAUGGGUAGUCAUGGAUAGACUUACCAAGUCAGCCUAUUUCCUAAGUAAUUAAAAAGACAGUCUGAGUUAAUCAGUUGGAGCAGACCUACAUUAUUGAGUUGUGAGGUUUCAUGGAUGUCAACAUUGUAUCGGAUUGGGAUUCGAAGUUCACGUCUACAUUUUUGGAGUCAUUCAGAAGGAACUUGGGACAAAGAUCCACAUGAAUACAACUUAUUAUCAGCAUACAGAUGGUUAGUCAAAGAGGACUAUUCAGACUUAGAGGACAUGCUCAGGGAUUGCGUCAUACAGUGGGAUGGAAGAUCAGAAAGCAUUAUAUCUAGCAGAGUUUCCCUACAUCGACAAUUAUCGUUCGAGCAUUGAGAUGACACCGUAUAAGCCUAUUUAUGGUAAGCCUUGUCGUAUACCACUUUGUUGGACCAAAGUGAGGGAGUGACAUGAGUUAGAACUAUUAAUGCUUCAUGAGAUGGUAUAGCAAAUGGACAUGCUCAAGGAUUGGCUUUGGGACGCCCAUGACGGCAGAGGAUUUAUGCAGCUAAGCGUCGUAAGGAUUUGGAGUUACAUAUGGGCAAUCUAGUAUACCUAAAAAUAAUGACAUUUCAGGGAGGACUUAAGACUCAUAAGCUGAAGCAACUAAAACCGAGAUACAUUGGACUGUAUCCUCCGGUGGAGUGAAUUGGAGCAGUUGAUUGCAGUUAUUUUAUCAGCAGUGUAUCAGACUUCCAUGACGUGAUCCAAGUGAGAUCAAAUUCAGAUGAGAAUUGACUAUCCGAAGGUUUUUUUUUAGGACGGUAUUGGACAGCCGACUCAGGAUUUGAAUUCGAGGACGAAUUCCUCGUAAGUGGGGAAGAAUUGUAACGACCCAAAUCUCGGCCCGGGAAAUUUAGCCCAAUAAGACCCAAUUACAUUGCAGAAAACCCUAAAGUUUUCAUAUUUAAGAUGGAUUUCGUGGUGGCCUAUGACAGAGACUUUUGGGGAUGUCAAAGUCCUUCCGGAACGUCACCGGAACAACCACAAAUAGCCACCAUGAAAGAGAAGCCAUCCCACCAUCCGAAAAGAGAGAUUAGAGCUCAGCAGACACGUUUUGGGGGAACAGAAGAACGAACAAUCAACUAUGAGUAUUUCGAAGCUAAAUUUUGAGGUUAUGUUCUAAACUUAUAGAUCUAUAUGUAUCAGAAAGCAGAUCAUCAUUUGGAAUUUUUAUCUAAGAAUUAUGGUUGUUUCUUUGGGACUGAUAUCUACAGAUCGGAUCCGCGAACAGUCAACUUCAUCAGCGUUUUACCGUUGAUAAAGAAGGAACCGGGAAACGGGCGAGAUAUCAUUGGAAAGAUCUAGAUACCAGCUUUUCAGAUCAUCUAUCCGAUCGUCAAAUCGACGUAUGGUUAGAAAGUUAUUGACGUUUCUUCUUGGUGAAGAAUAAAGCUGUUGAAUUGCAGAGACAGUUCUGACCAGUCUCGGUGUAAGUGAGAAACAGUCGACAGAAAAAAAAUCUUUCAGUCUAGAAAUUUGUCAGUAAGUAGUUAAUUCUCUUAUCUAUCAUCUCUUGCAAGCGGAUCGUUAUUCCGAGUUAUUUUCUGAGAGUUAUGCUUGUUUUCGUUAGAGGUGUUGGUGCAUUUUGCGUUUACGACCAUCCAGGAGAUGAAGUUACUUUGGUUAAGAAAAUGGUGUCCGAUCGGAGCAAACUUGGUGUAUAUGGAUAGAGGACACAUAGGAAUACAUUAUGACCGGAGGGAUCGAAAAGUUAACGGUCAUUUCUUGAGUUAUUCAUCUGUUUUCUGUAUGGUUCAGUUCUGCCAGAAUAUCAUAUUGAUCUAAUUUCAGAGAGUUCCGGAAUUGCUUUGUUAGAGCCGUAAAGGUCCAUUCGGUGUUUCCUCAGGUUUCUUCAGAACCCGUGGGAAAGGUGAGGGUCUUUUCCCGAACUUCUCUUACACGGCUUAGGACCUCGAAUAAGUAUAAUUUGUUUCUAAUGUGUUCCGUCUGUGUGUAAUCGAGUCUGUCAUUGCUUGUUUAGUUUUAGGCUCUUUGCUUAAACCAGAACUAGGGUGUUAGAUGGUUCAACAGUGCUUGUUCAUUUAUAAUUGAUAAUAUAUAUGUAUAAAGUAUAUUGAGGUGAUUUGGGUGUUAGCCGACCAUGGAGACGUAAUUCUGUGUGUCGGCCGGGGACCAGUACAUUGGGUGUGGUGUAUGCUGCGGCACAGCUUAGUCGACCUGUUGUGCCAAGGCUUCGAGGUCGAUAAAUCGUCUACGGGCAUGUGUUACCGAGCACAUAUUCGGUGGUGUUUUGGCCUGUUAGUGGGCAGCGAGUGUGCACCUCGCUAGGACUGUUGUGUGAUCUUUGGGUACUUUAGGUACUGUGUUUGCAACGUGUUAGAAUUAAAUUAUAUUUAUUCGGAGUGCUCUGUCCGGGUCCAUGGACUUCGGGUUUAGUAUCCCAAACCUCAUUGGGUGACUUCCCCGUUACUCACCCCUCAUUUGCCCCCUUUCAGGUGGGACUGACGAGUAUAUGAUAUUUGGACGGAUUGGUGCUACUGGGCUUUUUAUUCAAAUUUUAUUUGGGUUUAGGGUGAGUGGAGUCGUGUAUAUGGACUAUUGUGUUAUGAGAUAUUGUUGGUGGCAUGCUGUUCUCCAGAUAGGAGGUGACGGGUGUCACAAAAUCAUUCCGAAGGCCAAGCUGUAUGGAAUGGAUCAGGAUGCAAGAAACACCAACAGGAUCACAUCAACUCAAACAACCACCGGAGACACGUACCUGCAUUCAUGGUUUCAAAACUUUGCGACAUAAAUUCCCAAGUUCAAGCCAAAUUCCAGAAAUUGUUGUUGCACAUGUGUUUUAUCUUCUACUUUUUACCUUGCCUGUGUCAGCCUAUUUCUUUCUGUAUCUCGGAAGUAAAGAUAAAAAGGAAGUUAGUAAAAAAAGAUAAUUUCUCUUGUUGACAAGAGUCACAAGAUCAUUGACUGACUGUAUACAUAUAUAAUAUAAGUUUACAUCAUUAUAAAAUUAACUUUCCAUUUUAAAAGUAUGAUAAUUUAUUUUAUUAUUUAUAAACGCAACCAGCAAAACUAACAUAGAUUUUUGUUUAAGAUGACCUAUAAUUAUUUUAUAUAAUUUUAUUCUUGCUCAUUGCAUUGUUGUCUACUACUGGUCUCUAAUGUAAGAUAAAUAGUAAUUACUGAAACGAAUUUAACAGAUUGCAGGUGUAAAUAAAAAUGACAAGGAACAAAUAUAACUUACAGAUAUUCUCAGUUCUAUUUAUUCGUUUAUAAUAUAUUAUUUUCCUUUACUAAUCUAUAUUAAUACAUUGAAAAUAGAAGAGGUAAUUCAAGUUGGUCUACUUGUUGUGUCGGCCCUCUUUUCUCUCUACCUUAUCCCCAAGCCGUCGAAGAUUUCUCGAGUCUGUUCAGCUCCGGCCACCGGCGGUGGCGCGCGUGGUCGCCGGAGGCAGCUUCCUCUCCUCUUCCUUUUUGUAAUUUGCUCUGGUUUGCCCUCUUUCUUUGUCAUUGUCGUUUUGCUCGGUUCUGUGGGCGGUGCUCCGGUUCGGUUUCUCUAGAUUUGCUCCGGGGAAGUUUAGAUCUGUGGCUUGGGGCUUCUGUUCUGGAGUUUCGGCACGGCGGUGAGGGUUCUUGGGCUGCCGGAGUCGGCUUUUAGGGUGAACGUUUCGGUGGAUCUAUGUUUUCUCUUUCUCGGUCCUUUCGAAGCUUUCCGUGUUGUUGGCAGGUGGGUUCGUCGGCAUCUCUCUCCUCCAGUUCGGUAAGUGCUUUUUGCGAAGUAGUCUUCGUCGUGGAGAGAGGAGUCCUGGCUUUCUUCCUUUCCCUUGCUUGGCGUCUCGCAUCGGAAGGGGGUUCGCUCUUGGCUCAAGGGAGGUGAUAGAUUUCUUCUAUCGCUUCGUGCACGGAGGUCCGAUGGCUGUGUGGUUGUCGAGCUUCUGUGACUCCAUGUCUGCAACUUCUUCCCGGAUGGUUGGUUUGUCGUCUAUGGCUUUUUCAAACUUCCGCUUUGGUGGUUGCUCUCUCUUUGUUGUUUUGUCCCAUCUCUUGUGUCCAGCCAUCUCUGCCUCUUCUGAGGUCUCGAGCUCUCAGUCCUUCUUCGUGGGCCAUUCUUCAUUGUCGAGUUCUCCGGCUUUUCCCGUCGAAGCGCAAUGGAGACCGGAGUCAGGUUCUCUGCCUUCGGGGCAAGACGUCGAUUUGAAGUGUCAGUGUGUCAUCUGUCUCUCCUUCGGCGAUGGAGACUUGUUUCGACUCUGUUCAUCCAUGUGCCUGAGUUGCCGAUGGUGUGAUCAGGUAGAACUUUGUUGUUCUCUAUUGCAGGUUCUGGUGUUCGUUAUGGUUGGUGCCUCUUCGCUGCCUGUUUUGUUCGAAUAAGGUGUUCAGGUCUUCAGGUGGUACGGGUCCUCGACUUGUGCUUUCCUUGGAGGCUUGUUCUGUUUGCUCGUCUUUGGCUUUGCUGGUGCUUGGCCGAAGGUUUUUGCUGUCUGACCGUCUUGGUUGUAGUUUAGAAGGACGUCUGCGAGCUGUUUUUGGGGGAGUCUUAUCAUAAAGAGCGGAUCAUCGGGCAAGCCAAUUUCUACCGGGUUCCGACUCUCGGUUUUACUGUGGCUUCUCCUUCUGCGGCAAGUGGGUUGUGCCGGCCCGAAUCAGUCUAAGUCGAGUCUCUGUUUAGUUGUACCUUUGUUUCUUUUGUAUUUCUGUCAAAAAAUUGAAAAAUUGGUAAUAAUAUCUUAACAUUUUUACAAAAAAAAAAAAUAGAAGAGGUAUUGUAUCUUUAA
Molecule: long non-coding RNA, 8359 nt
Organism: Brassica napus (rape)
Lineage: Eukaryota; Viridiplantae; Streptophyta; Magnoliopsida; Brassicales; Brassicaceae
Exons: 2
Source: RefSeq, a predicted model, not a curated record